This 961-nucleotide long non-coding RNA is filed under the name Mytilus galloprovincialis (Mediterranean mussel). The record is from RNAcentral. Lineage: Eukaryota; Metazoa; Mollusca; Bivalvia; Mytilida; Mytilidae.
GUGUUUCUGAAGAUGGAGAUUAGGUAUGUAAUAAUGAGUUUUUAAUUUGAUAGAGUGUUGACUUUUAAAUUGUAAAAGUUUAAUGAGUUACUGUACGUUAAUCCCUUUAGUGUAUAAAAAUUCAACAAUUGCUGUUCAAGUGUAACUCGAAUAGUUCAAGCCCUUUCUGUGUCCGAUUUUCUCCCACACGAUGGUUAAUGUAGGCUUCGUAGAUCAGCAGAAUAUAACGACUGAAUUAUUCGGGUAAGUUCAAGUGCAUAGCAUAGCCAUCUUUAUCUUGCUGUAUCCAGAGGCAAUAUAUAUAUAUAGAGAUAUAAGAAGGGUGCCAAUGAGACAACUCUCCAUCCAAGUCACAAUUUAUAAAAGUAAAUCAUCAAAGGUCAAAGUACGGACUUCAACACGGAGCAAGACUGUUAUUAUUAAGAGAGUGAAUAAUAUUAUAUAAACAAAAUAGACAUCAUAAUUAAAAGAAAGACAGACAGUUUCUUCAUCAAAUAUAAUAAAUUUUGGUAUGAUAACUAAAAAUGUUUGAAAUUGUUUUGAAUUUGUCGUUACUUCUUUCAGAUCAGGCCUAUCCAGAAGCAAGAAAAGGAACAAUUCAUAGCACGUACAUCUACAGAGAGAGACAUGUUUUAAAAAACAGAUUUAUUUUCAAUUUUAGAAAAACCUGUUGAACUUUUACUAUUUCUUAUCUGUUUAUUUUACAUUUAUAUGUUGAUAUUUUGUUUUUUUUAAAAUUGCUGCACAGUAUUUCUAUUCAGUCCCAUAUAACAAAAUCAGCUGAAGAAAUUGAUAUUUUCAUAUUUCAAGGGAGUGUCCUUUUGCAUUGUUGAUAGCAGAUAUAAGUAUUGUCUUAAGUUGGGUUUAAAAACAGUCAGAUCGCAACUUCAAAUAAAAUACAUUUUUAUGAAUGUUAUAUGUCAUUAAAUAGACAUGAAAGAUGGAAAAUUAUAUAGGAACA